RNAcentral lists this ribosomal RNA (690 nucleotides) under Triticum aestivum (bread wheat). RNAcentral's name for it is "partial small subunit ribosomal RNA". Lineage: Eukaryota; Viridiplantae; Streptophyta; Magnoliopsida; Poales; Poaceae. The record is from RNAcentral.
AUGACGAUCAUGAGCUGGAACUGUCGAGGCCUCGGGCAACCUCGCACAGUUCAAGAAUUAGUGUGCCUUGUACACACACAUAAGCCCAAGCUCGUCUUCCUUACUGAAACGCGGUAGAAUAACAAGUUUGUCACAAACCUGAAGUGGAGGCUGGGCCUCCGUCAUUGUAUCACGCAACCCGGUACUGGUAAAUGUGUCGGCAUUGCUCUCUUCUAUGAUGAUAGUGUGGAAAUAAAAAAGAUUGCCGUGGGAGCGAGGUAUAUUGAUGUGUUGAUCAAGCUUGAUGUUCAUGGCCCUCAAUGGAGGGGAACUUUUGUUUAUGGGGAACCUAAAGCUCAUGAGCGUCACCACAUGUGGUCUCUCCUGAGAAGAAUCAAAGAUACAAGCAAUCUGCCGUGGCUUAUAACCGGGGAUUUUAAUGAAACUAUGUGGCAGUCUGAACAUUUCUCAGCCGCGAAGAGGUCAGAAAGGUAUAUGUGUAAUUUCAGGGAGGUGUUGUCCGACUGUAAUCUCUUUGACUUGGGCUUCAAAGGGCCGGGUUGGACCUAUAACAACAAGCAGCAAGGUAUCAACAAUGUCCGAGCGAGACUGGACAGGUUCGUUGCCUCUCCGUCCUGGUCUGACCUCUUCAACAACGCCUCCGUGGAUCAUAUUUGUUCGUCGCGGUCAGAUCAUCUCCCUAUUCUUAUG